AGCAGCGUAGCUCAGUGGAAAGAGCACAGGCUUGGGAGCCAGAGGUCAUGGGUUCGAAUCCCUGCUCUGCCA
RNAcentral lists this transfer RNA (72 nucleotides) under Ornithorhynchus anatinus (platypus). It matches the Rfam family "tRNA". Rfam says of the family: Transfer RNA (tRNA) molecules are approximately 80 nucleotides in length. Their secondary structure includes four short double-helical elements and three loops (D, anti-codon, and T loops). Further hydrogen bonds mediate the characteristic L-shaped molecular structure. tRNAs have two regions of fundamental functional importance: the anti-codon, which is responsible for specific mRNA codon recognition, and the 3' end, to which the tRNAs corresponding amino acid is attached (by aminoacyl-tRNA synthetases). tRNAs cope with the degeneracy of the genetic code in two manners: having more than one tRNA (with a specific anti-codon) for a particular amino acid; and 'wobble' base-pairing, i.e. permitting non-standard base-pairing at the 3rd anti-codon position. Lineage: Eukaryota; Metazoa; Chordata; Mammalia; Monotremata; Ornithorhynchidae. The record is from Rfam by way of RNAcentral.